GGCUGGCCUGAAGGUAGUGAGUUAUCUCAGUUGAUUGUUCAUAGUCAGUUACAGACGGAAUUCCUUGUUCUACUCCUUCCCUUCUUCUGCCUACUGCACUUGACUAGUCUUCA
This is an unclassified non-coding RNA of Homo sapiens (human), 113 nucleotides long. It matches the Rfam family "Y RNA". From Rfam's summary of the family: Y RNAs are components of the Ro ribonucleoprotein particle (Ro RNP), in association with Ro60 and La proteins. Lineage: Eukaryota; Metazoa; Chordata; Mammalia; Primates; Hominidae. The record is from Ensembl.